RNAcentral lists this long non-coding RNA (483 nucleotides) under Calidris pugnax (ruff). RNAcentral describes it as "lncRNA (ENSCPUG00000003371.1)". Lineage: Eukaryota; Metazoa; Chordata; Aves; Charadriiformes; Scolopacidae. The record is from RNAcentral.
CCCGGCGAAGGGCCGGAGCGGUGGCGUCGGCAGCUGCGGGGCGUAGGAGUCGCCUCUUUUCCUUCUCCUCCUCCUCCCUGUGAGGCGCGGCGCGUGCGGGUGGCCGUUGGCUGAGGGGCGGUGGGGUUAACGGUCAGCCGUUGGCGAGGGGCGGCGGGUAACGGGCGGCCGUUGGUGAGGCGAGGGGGCGGUGAGGGAUCCGGAGGGCGCCGCAGCGCUGAGGGACGGGGGAGAGCUGGGUUAGCGGCUGGGCAUUGCCGGCUGUGCCCCCUCCCGCUGAAGGCCCGGCGUUUCGUUGGUCUCUCUGAAGCUACAAGCGUUGGACGCUGGAAGAGGUUUCUCCAUCUGAUGGGUCCAGCAGAAAGGAAAUUAACAUAGGGCCAGUGCUGAACUGAGUGACUGUGCCAACAGGGAGAUGCCUACGUAACACGCGUUGCCAGCAAUUGUACUAAAUACUUCACUGCUGAACCAGUUGCUCAGGUA